Oxyura jamaicensis (ruddy duck) is the source of this 2078-nucleotide long non-coding RNA. RefSeq lists it as uncharacterized. Lineage: Eukaryota; Metazoa; Chordata; Aves; Anseriformes; Anatidae. The transcript is spliced from 3 exons. The record is from RefSeq and is a predicted model, not a curated record.
GAGGAGGCAGACCUGUCUGAUCAGGCAUUCCUGGGACCUAAAAUGGUGCUUGUUUAAACUGCAGGCUGGCUUGGGGGCUGCAGAAGUAAGAACCUCGGGCUGGUUGAAUGAAAUUUUCCCUAUAAGACUACUCCAGUGCUAAUGACAGCAACAAUAAGGGACCCAGCAAUUCAGUACUGGAGGGUGCUGCUGAGGGAACAUUGACAUAAGGGCAGGUGGUGUUAACCCUCCUUGAGAGCUGUCCAGUUGUAGCCUACCUGCUGCUGAAACCUCAGCUGAGUGUCUGCAGGAUGCUGUGGUGUGGAGCUGUGAAUGUGCUCGUUGCAUGGAGCAGACCAUCGCGAUGGUGGUAAGCACGCUACAGAAAUAAUAGGAGAGGUGUGUGUGUGAGGAGACCAGGGGUGGACAUCUACACAUGGGAGUGAACAAUAUAGGGUUUGAUCCACUACAAACUGACCAAGGAAUCAAUUAAUUGUUUGUCUUGUAGGCUUUUCAUGUAACUGAGUGAAUAGGGGUAUAUCUGGGAAAAAACUAGGCUUUUAUUUCACUGCAAGCUUGCUCUGUGUAAUCUUCUUCAUCUCCCUGAGCCAGUGUUCAUCCAUAGCUAUUUUUUUUCACUUUCUGACUAGGGGAGAGGAAGGAAAAGGCAGCCUGCAGAUGCUUUUUAUUAUACAUAUUACAUUUAGGCAAUGAGACCUUGAAUUCACUGAAAGCUGUGAAUGCUAUCAUGAUGAAAAUAAAGCAUGUAAUCUCAUUUGUAAUAGGCAACGCAUAGAUGGUACUUUUUUCAGUUUGCUUCUGAAGAAGGCCCCCAAAAUUGCAUAUGCUGUGUUGUAUAUAAGGCAACUACUGGUACCUCUUUUAAUCAUAUAUAUAUAUAUAUAUAUAUUAAUUCCCCAUCAUCUUCUCUCCACAGAUUUCUUAUUUUCUUCUUUUCUGUUAUCUUCAUUUUAUCUUUUGGAGAGGUAGUGUGUUUUACCAAGAAGAAUGGCUCUUAUAAUCAUGGAUAUCACCUUUUCAUACACUUCAGACAGGCUGUCAGAUGUAAAAACCUUUCCUUAGGCAGCAGUGGAAAAAAAAUAUUGUUAAAAAUAGCUUGUAUUUUGACUAAAAAAGGGCAUGAACACAUGAGUUAUCCUGCCUCCCCAAAAUAAAACCUCUUCCUAUUAUUAUAUUAAGAAAAUUGUUAGGUCCAACAGCUUCACAGAGAUACAUUUUGCUUUUCAAUGCAUACUUCAAUCGCUGAUCCAAUUAUUACUGAAAGUUUCAGAGGCAAAAUUAAUUAGCAGUCUGCCAUAGUUCUCCAGACUCCUGGAGUUCCAGUAAUGACUUGAUUUUUGUAGAACUGUGCUUAUUACAUGCAAUAGGCAAGUCUGGACAUAACAACUUACUCUGUGAAGCUUCUUAAAACUUAUUACUAUUAUCAGCAUCCUCUCUGCAACUGCAGAGUUGCCAGAUGUUGGGACUGUAAGCACAGAAUGCAGAAUUCAAGUUAUACUUUAUUGUUUGGAAAAAGGUCUUAAGACUUUCCCCCAUCUCCAGCAAUUAUCAAAAAUAAUUAUGGACAUUUUUCAGGUUAAAUAAAAACUAGUAAUGAGGGGGAGUCCACACUUUAAGCUCUUGUUAAUAAUUAAUUUUCAGAUUUGGCAGCUUAGAUUUAUAGAGUUCAGUCCCUCCAACUUUUUAUAUGUUAAGGAAAAUAACAUUAUUAUUAUUAUUAUUAUUUUCUGCUUAGAAAUACAAUAGUUUUGGACUUUUUAGGUCAGAUCUUCAGAUCCCAUAGUUCUGAAUGUUGUAAAAUUGAUCCACAUUUGCUGAGGCUCUAAUUCCAUUUCUGAAUGGGGCAUGAUGGUUGAAAAGUCCUCUUUCCAGAUAAUAUUAGCUUGGGCUUUUCAGAGGAGUUUGGGUUCUUCUUUUGGUCAUGCUGAGCCCUUACACUCUGAUCCAAAGUAGGAAUUGGACAUUUAUUUCAAAGAAGUGUUCUUUAGUCUUUGGUAUCGUAACACAUGUGUUGCAUUUGCAAAAAUGUUUGUAGCUCCAUGGAACAUCUAGACAUUUAGUGCAUACUAAGUAAGUGG